This is a non-coding RNA of Pantherophis guttatus, 1306 nucleotides long. NCBI's taxonomy places the organism in Eukaryota, Metazoa, Chordata, Lepidosauria, Squamata, Colubridae. The record is from RefSeq and is a predicted model, not a curated record.
GAAUUGGCAGGUAGUACCUGUAAGUUUAAAAAAGAAAGAAAUCUUAAAUUGUUUAUUUAUUCUUUUUGUUUUGAUUUUGUUGCUCAUGUUAUCAUAUGUUGCUUAGGGUCCUUUGGAAUUGUGUUAUGAGUACCAUAACAAACCAACCAGACAAGCAUUAUUAGCUGUUCAGUGAGGAUACCAAAGUCCUAACACAGAACGUUACAAAAGAUGAUCAUACGUCCCUGCCACACUGCAACCAUCAUAAAUAUGAACCACUUGUCAAGCAUCCAAAUUUUGAUCAUAUGACCAUGGCAGCAGUCGUAAGUGUGAAAAACGACAGUGUGUCAAACUGGUGGCCCGCAGGCCGGAUGCGUCAUGCGCAGCCCACACCUACCCCAGUUCCGCAAAGGGGAAAAUGUCGCAAUAUGUCACAUGACAACAAUGUUACACGAUUUCUACAAAUAACAACCUUAAAUGGGAAAUCGUGUGUUUUGAUCAUCGCUGUGCAUCUGAAAUAACAGAAAUGAUGACCCACUGACAAUAGGCAGUUUAUUUUCAGAGAAAAUAAGAGGAUGUUGACUUUCAAUCUUGGCUUCAGAAUUAAACUCCAAUCAAAUACAUUCAGAAAGAGCAAGGAUGACAGUUGGAGGUGGUCUUAUAUACAGGAUGGGCGGGGCUAACAGAUAAAGCUGUAGAAAGAACCCUUCAUUUUUCAAGAUCUCAACCCUACCCUUGGGCCUGGCAUAUUUAUCGAUUACAAGCUGUACUUUUUAUUUGCAGUCUGAGGAAUGGUAAGUCUUAAUUUUGGAAUCUAGUUGUGUUGCUUGCCAGUGUCAUGCUGUCCUCAGUUCCCGAAAGCCUGUCAUAUUCCAUACUUGUGCUGAUUCUGGAUCGCUGCAAUUCCUUCCAAUGUCCUUCACCCAGAACACACAGUCCUCAAGUUGAACUGUAGUCAGGUGAAAAUCCUACCAUCAAAUUUAGCACCGAAGUCAAAUUUCAAAAUAUUUCUGCACCUAAAGUAAGUGAUCCAAAUUACAUCCAAACUCUGCUCUGAACUGAAAGUAAACAGAGUGACAGAAAUGGAGCUGGGAGGAAGAAAUAUACUACUGCCCUGGCAUUUUCUACUUGAAAGAACACUUUGUGAAAAUCUAGCCUGAUGGAAAACCAAGGCAGAAUUUUGCAAAUGAUAAUGCAAAAUUUGUUUGCCUUGGUUAUUUUUGUUCUGCGAGUCAGAAGUAAGCAGCAAUAAAAGCAUUCAAACUACCAUUUUGUUGUAUACAUGAUAUACAGUGACAAUAAAGGCUAUACUACAAACAGCUCACCA